This 301-nucleotide ribosomal RNA is filed under the name uncultured bacterium. RNAcentral's name for it is "partial 16S ribosomal RNA". It matches the Rfam family "Bacterial small subunit ribosomal RNA", at positions 509 to 807 of the family's 1533-position model. The record is from RNAcentral.
CAGCCGCCGCGGUAAUACGUAGGUGGCAAGCGUUGCCCGGAAUUAUUGGGCGUAAAGGGCUCGCAGGCGGUUUCUUAAGUCUGAUGUGAAAGCCCCCGGCUCAACCGGGGAGGGUCAUUGGAAACUGGGAAACUUGAGUGCAGAAGAGGAGAGUGGAAUUCCACGUGUAGCGGUGAAAUGCGUAGAGAUGUGGAGGAACACCAGUGGCGAAGGCGACUCUCUGGUCUGUAACUGACGCUGAGGAGCGAAAGCGUGGGAAGCGAACAGGAUUAGAUACCCCCGUAGUCCCUGUCUCUUAUAC